RNAcentral lists this ribosomal RNA (256 nucleotides) under uncultured bacterium. RNAcentral's name for it is "partial 16S ribosomal RNA". It matches the Rfam family "Bacterial small subunit ribosomal RNA", at positions 524 to 776 of the family's 1533-position model. The record is from RNAcentral.
GACAUAGGUGGCGAACGUUAUCCGGAAUUAUUGGGCGUAAAGGAUGCGUAGAUGGUACGAUAAGUUAUCAGUGGGAAAUCGGGGCUCAACCUCGUGGAAGCUGGUAAUACUGUCAUACUUGAGUACAGGAGAGGUUAAUGGAACUCCAUGUGGAGCGGUAAAAUGCGUAGAUAUAGGGAAGAACACCAAUAAAGGCGAAGGCAGUUAACUAUUCUAUUCCUGACAUUGAGGCAUGAAAGCGUGGGGAGCAAAACGG